This 1245-nucleotide ribosomal RNA is filed under the name metagenome. RNAcentral's name for it is "bacterial LSU rRNA". It matches the Rfam family "Bacterial large subunit ribosomal RNA", at positions 1564 to 2818 of the family's 2925-position model. The record is from RNAcentral.
UGAAUACGAGACGCUAAGGCGUCGAAGUAGUGUAUGUCAUACUUCCAAGAAAAGCUUGCACUGUCAUAGAUAAAAAACGCCUGUACCAUAACCGACACAGGUGGGUAGGUAGAGUAUACUAAGGGGCGCGAGAUAACUCUCUCUAAGGAACUCGGCAAAAUAACUCCGUAACUUCGGGAGAAGGAGUGCCUUAUUCGUAAGGUUGCAAUAACAAGAUCCAAGCAACUGUUUAUCAAAAACACAGGUCUCCGCUAAGUCGUAAGACGAUGUAUGGGGGCUGACGCCUGCCCAGUGCCAGAAGGUUAAAGAAGUUGGUUAGCAAUUGCGAAGCUGAUAACUGAAGCCCUGGUGAACGGCGGCCGUAACGAUAACGGUCCUAAGGUAGCGAAAUUCCUUGUCGGGUAAGUUCCGACCCGCACGAAAGGCGUAAUGAUUUGGAUACUGUCUCGGAGAGGGGCUCGGUGAAAUAGACUUGUCUGUGAAGAUGCGGACUACCUGCACCAGGACAGAAAGACCCUAUGAAGCUUUACUGUAACUUGAAAUUGAGAUUGGACUUUAUUCGCGCAGUAUAGGUGGGAGGCGUUGAUUAUAAUCUUGUGGGAUUAUUGGAGCCAUCAGUGAGAUACCACUCUUGUAAUGUUAGAUUUCUAACUUUGAAUCAUUAUCUGGUCAAAGAACAGUUUCAGGCGGGCAGUUCGACUGGGGCGGUCGCCUCCUAAACGGUAACGGAGGCGUACAAAGGUUUCCUCUGAACGGUUAGAAAUCGUAUCUAGAGUGUAAAGGCAUAAGGAAGCUUGACUGUGAGACCUACAAGUCGAGCAGGGACGAAAGUCGGUCUUAGUGAUCUGACGGUACUGAGUGGAAAGGCCGUCACUCAACGGAUAAAAGUUACUCUAAGGAUAACAGGCUGAUCUCCCCCAAGAGUUCACAUCGACGGGGAGGUUUGGCACCUCGAUGUCGGCUCAUCGCGUCCUGGGGCGGUAGUACGUCCCAAGGGUUGGGCUGUUCGCCCAUGAAAGCGGUACGCGAGCUGGGUUCAGAACGUCGUGAGACAGUUCGGUCCAUAUCCGGUGUAGGCGUUAGAAUAUUGAGAGGAGCCUUCUUUAGUACGAGAGGACCGAGAAGGACAUACCUCUGGUGUACCAGUUAUCGUGCCAACGGUAAACGCUGGGUAGCUAUGUAUGGAGUGGAUAACCGCUGAAAGCAUCUAAGUGGGAAGCCCACCUCAAGAUAAGUAUUCUCAUC